UGCGCUUGUCUGUGAUAACCUCGUGCCGAUCGCACGUCCCCGUGACGGCAACAACUCAUUCGGAUGUCUGCCCUAUCAACUUUCGAUGCUAUUUUCCGCACCUACCAUGGUGACCACGGGUAACAGGGAAUCAGGGUUCGAUUCCAGAGAGGGAGCCUGAGGAACGGCUACCACAUGCAAGGAAGGCAGCAGACGUGCAAAUUACCCACUCCCAACGCGGGGAGGUAGUGACGACAAAUAACAAUACACUACUCUUUCGAGGCCCUGUAAUUGUAAUGAGUCCACUUUAAAUCCUUUAACUUGGAUCAAUUGGAGGGCAAGUCUGGUGCAGAGCGACUGACCCGGGCGUG
Non-coding RNA from Pelobates cultripes (western spadefoot toad), 350 nucleotides. The record is from the annotation of a GenBank genome assembly. NCBI's taxonomy places the organism in Eukaryota, Metazoa, Chordata, Amphibia, Anura, Pelobatidae.